AACGGAGGGUGCAAGCGUUGUUCGGAAUUACUGGGCGUAAAGCGCGUGCAGGUGGUUUUCUAAGUUUCGUGUGAAAGCCCAUGGCUCAACCAUGGAACGGCACGGAAAACUGGGAGACUUGAAUACGGGAGAAGAGGGCGGAAUUCCCAGUGUAGAGGUGAAAUUCGUAGAUAUUGGGAGGAACACCGGUGGCGAAAGCGGCUCUCUAGACCGAUAUUGACGCUCAUACGCGAGAGCGUGGGUAGCAAAC
Molecule: ribosomal RNA, 250 nt
Filed under: uncultured bacterium
Lineage: Bacteria
Description: partial 16S ribosomal RNA
Rfam family: Bacterial small subunit ribosomal RNA
Source: RNAcentral